RNAcentral lists this ribosomal RNA (491 nucleotides) under uncultured bacterium. RNAcentral's name for it is "partial 16S ribosomal RNA". It matches the Rfam family "Bacterial small subunit ribosomal RNA", at positions 29 to 507 of the family's 1533-position model. The record is from RNAcentral.
GUGAACGCUGGCGGUAGGCCUAACCCAUGCAAGUCGAACGGCAGCACAGUAAGAGCUUGCUCUUACGGGUGGCGAGUGGCGGACGGGUGAGGAAUACAUCGGAAUCUACUUUUUCGUGGGGGAUAACGUAGGGAAACUUACGCUAAUACCGCAUACGACCUACGGGUGAAAGCAGGGGAUCUUCGGACCUUGCGCGAUUGAAUGAGCCGAUGUCGGAUUAGCUAGUUGGCGGGGUAAAGGCCCACCAAGGUGACGAUCCGUAGCUGGUCUGAGAGGAUGAUCAGCCACACUGGAACUGAGACACGGUCCAGACUCCUACGGGAGGCAGCAGUGGGGAAUAUUGGACAAUGGGCGCAAGCCUGAUCCAGCCAUACCGCGUGGGUGAAGAAGGCCUUCGGGUUGUAAAGCCCUUUUGUUGGGAAAGAAAAGCAGCAGGUUAAUACCCCGCUGUUCUGACGGUACCCAAAGAAUAAGCACCGGCUAACUUCGUG